GGGGUUGUGGCUCAGUGGUAGAGCGCUCGCCUAGCACAUGCGAGUCCCGGGGUUCGAUCCUCAGCACCACA
Molecule: transfer RNA, 71 nt
Filed under: Marmota monax (woodchuck)
Lineage: Eukaryota; Metazoa; Chordata; Mammalia; Rodentia; Sciuridae
Description: tRNA.Ala
Rfam family: tRNA
About the family: Transfer RNA (tRNA) molecules are approximately 80 nucleotides in length.
Source: RNAcentral